GAUGAACGCUGGCGGUAUGCUUUACACAUGCAAGUCAUACGGGAGUUAAUUUCGGUUAACUUCAGUGGCGGACGGGUGAGUAACACGUGAGAAUUCGCCUUUAGGAGGGGGAUAACAGGGGGAAACACCUGCUAAAACCCCAUAUGCCUUCGGGUCAAACGAGUAAUCGGACUAAAGAGAAGCUCGCGGCUGAUUAGCUAGUUAGUAGGGUAAAGGCCUACCAAGGCGACGAUCAGUAGCUGGUCUGAGAGGAUGAUCAGCCAAACUGGAACUGAGACACGGUCCAGACUCCUACGGGAGGCAGCAGUGAGGAAUUUUCUGCAAUGGGCGAAAGCCUGACAGAGCAAUACCGCGUGAGGGAAGAAGGCUUACUGAGUUGUAAACCUCUGUUACCUAGGAAGGAAGAUCUGACGUUACCUAGGAGACGAAGCAUCGGCUAACUCCGUGCCAGCCGCCGCCGUAA
RNAcentral lists this ribosomal RNA (463 nucleotides) under uncultured bacterium. RNAcentral's name for it is "partial 16S ribosomal RNA". It matches the Rfam family "Bacterial small subunit ribosomal RNA", at positions 28 to 523 of the family's 1533-position model. The record is from RNAcentral.